RNAcentral lists this ribosomal RNA (119 nucleotides) under Pteropus alecto (black flying fox). The record is from RNAcentral. Lineage: Eukaryota; Metazoa; Chordata; Mammalia; Chiroptera; Pteropodidae.
GUCUACGGCCAUGCCGCCCUGAACGCACCCGAUCCCGUCUGAUCUCGGAAGCUAAGCAGGGUCGGGCCUGGUUAGUGCUUGAGUGGGAGACCACCUAGGAAGACCAGGUGCUGUAGGCA